CUCUGAGGAAUAGUUUGGCCCCGAGCUGACAAGGUAAAAUUCUGUCGUUCUACCCACUGUUCCCCGGGCGCCGUGGAUGUCGAUUCAAGGCAGCUUCCCGCACCUCUCUGAUUCAGAGGGGUUGGGUUAAAUGUGGAAUAGACAUUUCAGUUGAAUGCAUUCAGUUGUACAACUGACUAGGUAUCCCCCUUUCCCUAUACAACUGACUAGGUGUCCCCCUUUCCCUAUACAACUGACUAGGUAUCCCCCUUUCCCUAUACAACUGACUAGGUGUCCCCCUUUCCCUAUACAACUGACUAGGUGUCCCCCUUUCCCUAUACAACUGACUAGGUGUCCCCCUUUCCCUAUACAACUGACUAGGUAUCCCCCUUUCCCUAUACAACUGACUAG
Molecule: long non-coding RNA, 390 nt
Organism: Oncorhynchus tshawytscha (Chinook salmon)
Lineage: Eukaryota; Metazoa; Chordata; Actinopteri; Salmoniformes; Salmonidae
Source: Ensembl